RNAcentral lists this ribosomal RNA (445 nucleotides) under uncultured bacterium. RNAcentral's name for it is "bacterial SSU rRNA". It matches the Rfam family "Bacterial small subunit ribosomal RNA", at positions 329 to 792 of the family's 1533-position model. The record is from RNAcentral.
GGCCAGACUCCUACGGGAGGCAGCAGUGGGGAAUAUUGCACAAUGGGGGAAACCCUGAUGCAGCGACGCCGCGUGAGUGAAGAAGUAAUUCGUUAUGUAAAGCUCUAUCAGCAGGGAAGAAAAUGACGGUACCUGAGUAAGAAGCCCCGGCUAACUACGUGCCAGCAGCCGCGGUAAUACGUAGGGGGCAAGCGUUAUCCGGAUUUAUUGGGUUUAAAGGGUGCGUAGGCGGAAUGCCAAGUCAGCGGUAAAAUCGCGGGGCUAAACCUCGCUCCGCCGUUGAAACUGGCGUUCUUGAGUGGGCGAGAAGUAUGCGGAAUGCGCAGUGUAGCGGUGAAAUGCUUAGAUAUUGCGCAGAACUCCGAUUGCGAAGGCAGCAUACCGGCGGCGAUCUGACACUGAGGCACGAAAGCGUGGGUAUCGAACAGGAUUAGAUACCCUAGUA